AGAGAAGAGAGGCUCAAACUGAAAUCUGAGGAGCCUCAGCAUUCAGAACUCAACUGGGCGCUGUGGCUCAAGCCUGCAAUCCCAGCACUUUGGGAGGAUGAGGCAGGCAGAACACCUGAGGUUAGAAGUUUGAGGCCAACAUGGCCAAACUUCGUCUCUACUGAAAAUAUAAAAAUUAGCUGUGUGUGGUGGUGAGUGCCUGUAAUCCCAGCUACUCAGGAGGCUGAGGCAGAAGAGUCUAUUGAACCUGGAAGGCGAAGGUUGCAGUGAGCUGAGAUCACACCACUGCCCUCCAGCCUGGGCAACAGAGCAAGACUCCAUAUCAGAAAAAAAAAAAAAGAAAGAAAGAAAAAGAAAAUAACUCAAUGGAGCACAAGCAGCUGAGUAAUGCCCCAGGAAGCCGGCGUCAUUGUUGGACAGCUCAGAUGUUCAGGAUGUUUCAUUUUGAACCUACCUCAUUGGAAUUUCAAAAUAUUAGCCUCUUUGGAGCAAUACGGAGCAAGUCUGUUCCUUCAAGUAGAUGAAAAGUUCCCUGCAUGCCUUCCAUUGGACUUCUCCCCUUUAGCUUAAAAAUAGCCACAGUCCUGAAACAUGUCUCAGAAGCAGAUGUCACCCAAACCCUACUCUUCCAACUCAGCCAGCCAGCCACAUGCACGACCCCAAAGCAAAGAAGAGGCAGCGACCUGAGAAGCUACAUAUUGACUUGGCGCUACCACGGGUGUAGGAGCCUGCAUUGCUGAAUCACAGGAUGAAGGCGAAUCCCUGCCAGCCUCCAUCCGUCUCCAGGUACAGCAUAGACCGGUGACACUUUGAGAAUUUUAAUGUUAUUACUUGAAGUGACCUGAGGCUUCCUCCGAAUUGGAGAAUGACUGCUUGGUUGUCAAUUUAAUUGCUGGUGAGAUUGUUAGUUUUUUGAGUAGAGGUCAGGAAUAACACUGGAAGAGAAUAUAUUUUCCCAACUCCUCCUAUAAAUGCACCAUCCAAUUAAAGAAAGCUGAGAUAACAUUACUUCAAAGCACUUUCAAAUAAAUGAUGUCAAAUUUUGC
RNAcentral lists this long non-coding RNA (1046 nucleotides) under Rhinopithecus bieti (black snub-nosed monkey). RNAcentral's name for it is "lncRNA (ENSRBIG00000045633.1)". Lineage: Eukaryota; Metazoa; Chordata; Mammalia; Primates; Cercopithecidae. The record is from RNAcentral.